AGAGUUUGAUCCUGGCUCAGGAUGAACGCUGGCGGCGUGCUUAACACAUGCAAGUCGAACGAUGAACCUCACUUGUGGGGGGAUUAGUGGCGAACGGGUGAGUAACACGUGAGUAACCUGCCCUUAACUCUGGGAUAAGCCUGGGAAACUGGGUCUAAUACCGGAUAUGACUCCUCAUCGCAUGGUGGGGGGUGGAAAGCUUUAUUGUGGUUUUGGAUGGACUCGCGGCCUAUCAGCUUGUUGGUGGGGUAAUGGCCUACCAAGGCGUCGACGGGUAGCCGGCCUGAGAGGGCGACCGGCCACACUGGGACUGAGACACGGCCCAGACUCCUACGGGAGGCAGCAGUGGGGAAUAUUGCGCAAUGGGCGAAAGCCUGACGCAGCAACGCCGCGUGAGGGAUGACGGCCUUCGGGUUGUAAACCUCUUUCAGCAGGGACGAAGCGAGAGUGACGGUACCUGCAGAAGAAGGACCGGCCAACUACGUGCCAGCAGCCGCGGUAAUACGUAGGGUCCGAGCGUUGUCCGGAAUUAUUGGGCGUAAAGGGCUCGUAGGCGGUUCGUCACGUCGGGAGUGAAAACUCGGAGCUUAACUCCGAGCCUGCUUCCGAUACGGGCAGACUAGAGGUAGGCAGGGGAGAGCGGAACUCCUGGUGUAGCGGUGGAAUGCGCAGAUAUCAGGAAGAACACCGGUGGCGAAGGCGGCUCUCUGGGCCUUACCUGACGCUGAGGAGCGAAAGCGUGGGUAGCGAACAGGAUUAGAUACCCCCGUAGUCC
This 775-nucleotide ribosomal RNA is filed under the name uncultured Kribbella sp. Its description in RNAcentral is "bacterial SSU rRNA". It matches the Rfam family "Bacterial small subunit ribosomal RNA", at positions 8 to 796 of the family's 1533-position model. The record is from RNAcentral. Lineage: Bacteria; Bacillati; Actinomycetota; Actinomycetes; Propionibacteriales; Kribbellaceae.